ACCUAAUGCACCAGUGGGAGCUAUCACAGUCAGUGUAUGUCUGGGCUGGUGGGUGGGAGCACUUGUCAUGUCUGUGAAAUUAUGAAUGGCCAGAGAGGAUGGCGUGGUGUGCGAGUGAGAGAGUGUGAGGGAGAGAGAGAGAGAGAGAGAGAGAGAGAGAGAGAGGGAGGGAUGGAGAGGGGAAAAGACGUGUCUGGUGAUACGUAGAAGAAUUGCCAACCAGCAGCACAGCCCCUCUGACAAAGGUGGAGAAAGAGAAGGCUGACAGACAGAAGCCCUGAGUAAGUGUGAUAAAGAGCCUCUCUCCUCCCUCCUGCACCCCACUGCCGCUCUGCACCUCACUGCACCUCGCCAACAUGGAGCAGAAGACAACCUCGCCUCAGAAACACAUGGUGAAAAGCAGGUCCAAGUCCACUGAGGAAAUCCAGCAAGCUAAGAAGGCCUUCCACAUCCCCCAGAAGUCGCUUCCUGGUGGAUCCGAUUUAGACAAAGUGAAGGUCAGCCCACAGUUCACGUAGGGGCAAGUCUGCACGGACCAACAAAAGAAAGCCCUGAAGAAUCUGAAACUCCUGCAUCAUCAUCAGAGGAACUGAAGUAACACUUAUAAAUCUCAACCCCCCCCCCACACAUAUGCCCAAUCUAAAUCUCCGGUCUUGUCCAGACAUGCAGACUUAAGUCCACAGGGCUGGAGGGCUCUAAUUCUGCCUUUCAUCUAGGCCACCUGACCAUAAUAAUGCUGACUUUUUAUUAACUUAAGGAAAGGCUGCUUGAGAUGCAGACUUCAGCAGACUUCGCUAAUGGAGUUACCCUAAAUUCACAGUAGUGAGGAACCAAAAAAACCCCAUGAAACCGAAACCGAAAGAUACACUUGGCCUUUUUUUUGUUUCAUUUAAAAAAUAAACUGCAUGCUAAUAAAGAAAUUGCAUGUUUAUUAUUGAUAUAAUCUGCUUUCAAUAUGACAAAAUUGAGUUGACGAUAAAUAAAAACAGUUUGCAUAAAAGCAGAGUUUGAUUAACACACCAUAAAGCUUCAUAAUUUCCCCAGUAUAUUAAAAAACAAACAAUCCUCAAGAACAUUUUAAAAGAAACCAAAUGCACAUACAUUUACAUGGUAAUGGAGGCUUAUACUAACACAGUUACAGAGCCAGUUCCCUGUAAACUAACCAGCACAUCAUCACACCAAACAAAACAUCUGUUCUCUUCAGCUUAGGACAGAUUAAUGUGGUCACAAUGACUAAUAAAGGAUUUAAAACCAUACAGGCACUUUUAGCUCUACAUUUUAAAGGCUACUUUUAUGACAUGAUCACCUGUAAACCAAGAGAAACAUAAUUAGCCACACAGCUAUCCAACAUGUUAUUGGCACUGCACUAACCGAGCUACGAGAAUGUCAAAAAGGGGUGGGGGGAAGGGCCUUAGCUCACCCCCUAGUACCUGAAUAGUGGAACUGCUUUCAACGAAUGGACUGAAAAACUACAUGGAUCUGUAAAUUAAUAAAGUAAAAUAAAAGAGAAAUGAAAUUGGGGUGGUUCUCUGUGGCCACAGUCUGGUAAUAUCACAUACGGGCUACAGAAUGAUGGCUAGAUUUUUCUUUCUGCAUCUGUUGUUCUGCUGUAUUCUGCAUGUUUAGUGCUCAAACUGAACGUGUUUGUGCUGAGUGUCAAAUGAAACAAACACAGCGUUUCUAAUCACUACCCCCAUAUUUAUACAUUUAAAUACCGGUUUAAACAUGCCUUGUCCACCUGGCCUCUCCAUUCCCCCUGAGGUGACAUGUUAGGGGCUGUUCCAUUGAUUUAUUAGCUCAAGUGAGGGGUGUUAGGUGAGCUUUCUAGGGGACAAGGCAUCAGGUGAACACCAGUGUUGAGGUCCGCAGCAGAACUUGUCCAGAAAUCAUUGUGAUGUGACACGUCCCUUUUCAAAGCCCAAAAUAAUGGCAGAAGAAGUCGUUUAGAGGCUAUAGCAGUGAACUUGUUCAAAAUGCUUAACAUUUCAAAACCAUAACAUUUGAUUUGCUGGGCUUCAGGUCACUCCAUCUAUUACACAUGACUGCUGAUAUGACUUCAUCGCUUUGCUUUGCUAGCUGGCUCGCUAUCAUGCUAAAGACUACAUGGCUAAUGACAACAAAAAGAAAGGCACUACACACUGCAACACCAAGUUAACAGCCAGCCAAAGUGAUUACUCGCCCAUGUUAUAUAUGUUAUGCCCAAACUUCUCAGAAAAGAUUUUGCAUUUCAAAGUUUGCAUGGCUAGCCAAUUAGCCCACUGAAGCUAACCUACUCCUAGUUCAUUCUUUUUGAGUAAUCCGCUCCUCAUUGUCCCUUCACUUCUUCCCUUAGUGGCCACUUGUGUAACACAUUGGUGUGAAAGUGGGUGAGAGCAAGUUUGGAAAAAAACAUAUAAAAUCAUGCUACUGUUUCUGUUAAGUGAUUUUUCUUUACAUGUUAGACUCUGGCACUUUGUUGUAUACCGACCUAAACCUGUAAGUGCCACUUUCUGAGUCUCUUGGACGAAAUUAUUGGUGGCCAAAACUUCAUGUCAUAGUUCAUAGCAGAAUGCAUGUGAUAGCACAACAGGAGGAGUUCCAAAAAGAAUAAAUAAAAAUUUUACAUUUAGAUAACAAGCGAACAAUGAAUUUAUACGUAAGUAAAAAACAGUUUGUGUCCAUAUGUGCAUAUUUUGGUUUCAAAGUCUCCCACAGAAGUGAGUCGAUCUGAUGUCCACUCUAAGUAGUACUUUUUUAUGCACUUCCAGCCGUAUGACCUCAGAUUAAACAUGAUGACGUCAAGCACUGUAGUGAACAUCACAAAACGUAGAUCCGAAGUCCGUGAGACCGGAGAGCAUGGGGCCGUAGGUUUAGAUUGGGCACUACAUUAUCUUCACUCAUGUCACUUCCUGAAAUUACCACAUAUGACCCAUGUGCUCCUUCCCUCAUCAGGAUACCCCCCCCCCAAUAACCAGCUGUUACUUCACCAUUUUAACACAUGGCCGUGUACUAAAGAGGCAGUUCAUAUAAACAUGUUUCCAUGCUGUGCUGUUGAAGAGUGUGACUGCUGUACAUAUCAACUGAAUGUGUUUGCACAAUAAAGCAGUUUGGUGAGUGUGUCCUUGCAAAAAUGAUAUAUGUUGUCUUC
Long non-coding RNA from Colossoma macropomum (tambaqui), 3127 nucleotides. RefSeq lists it as uncharacterized. The transcript is spliced from 5 exons. The record is from RefSeq and is a predicted model, not a curated record. NCBI's taxonomy places the organism in Eukaryota, Metazoa, Chordata, Actinopteri, Characiformes, Serrasalmidae.